Molecule: long non-coding RNA, 357 nt
Filed under: Citrus sinensis (sweet orange)
Lineage: Eukaryota; Viridiplantae; Streptophyta; Magnoliopsida; Sapindales; Rutaceae
Description: long non-coding RNA (CSIN_LNC005071)
Source: RNAcentral
UCUUCUUCAAUUGGGAGGCAUCAUUUUAUCAUAUCAAAUCCUAGGAAAAAUAAUAGUUGGACGGUUAAUUUUUUACAAAACCCAGAUUCACAAUUCAAUACAAAAGUUAAAUUAAUGAUAUAAAAAAUUUUAAGAGAGAAAUUGGAAAAAAAUUAAACAAAACUUUAAAAAUCCAAAAGGAAAACUUGUGAAUUACCUUCAUCAAACCAUUUUCAAGAACAAAAUCCAUCAAUUACUUUUGUCAAGCUCAAGCCGUUUGGAAAUUCAGUUGCUCAACAAAUUAAUGGAUCAUUAGAUGAUAUGAUUUCUAAGGAAAUUUUGAGGGAUUAAGAUUUUAGGCCUUUAGUUACUUUGGUG